RNAcentral lists this long non-coding RNA (2406 nucleotides) under Lepisosteus oculatus (spotted gar). RNAcentral describes it as "lncRNA (ENSLOCG00000023017.1)". The record is from RNAcentral. Lineage: Eukaryota; Metazoa; Chordata; Actinopteri; Semionotiformes; Lepisosteidae.
AGAUUGACUCCAACGUGCUCUUCUUUCAGAGUCUGAGUGUGCUUGUGGGGGCAGCAGUGCCGAAGGCCAGACCAGUGCUGGAAUCCCAGCUGGAGCAGCUGCUGACCAUGGUCCACGCCCAGGUUUGUGCUUCUUUCAAAUGUCCUGGGAAACCAGAGGAGGAGAGAAGCGCAUCCUUAGUGCUGAGGUUCUGCGUCUUAGCUGGGGAGUUUCCAGGGAGGGUGCUGGAAUUCUGCAUGUCCCAGCUGGAAAAUCUGGAGGAGCAUAACCAACUAGGCAGCCUGACCAUCCUUGCGAGGCUUGACUGUCUUUUCCCAAAUUGGAAACUCAUCCUUCCUAACAGGAGUGUCGAUUUUAUUUAGGAACGGUUGAGAAUUAUUCAUCAGAGUUGAUAGGGUGUGAGACUGUAGUCCUCCGUAGCCAUGAGAUGAACCCCGAUUCCUUGUCACUUCUUAGUCCUCUUCAUCUGCUGCGUCUGGUCAAGCUGCUUGGACCAGGGCUGCACUCACAGGGUUGUGUGUUUUUUCAGUCUGUGUCAAGGAGACCCUGAAGGAGUAUGUCCUCAUGAGCUUUGUGGCAUCCCUUCACAACCCCAGCAAUCAGGUGAAGUAUCUGGAGUCGCAGGUCCUGAUUGAAAUGGGGCAGAAGGGCUACCUGGGGCUGGGGUGCAGAGUCUUAGCUCUGGAGUACACAGUAAAGAACUGUGCCCUUGCAGAUGACACCACCCAGGCCGAGCAGAGUGUGAGCAGCAGCACUGUGAGGCAGAGCUUUGAGGCUGUGCUGGCCUGCUGGUGUGCCGAUGAGAGUGUGACUGAAAUGCUGUGGCCUGUGUACCUGCUGAGGUUCCUCACCUGGAGGAGUUAUAGCAACGCUCUGCCCACACUGUGCCAGAACCUCAGUGUGCUGCACAGGAGGCUGAGGGAGAACAGCCCCUCCUUCCUGUGCGACUUUGAUGAGCUUGGUUAGUAUCGAGGAUCCGAUGGAGUGUCUCAAAUUUGUCAUAUUUGCUCCUUGGUUCUGGGACUGUGUGGAGCCACAUGGGAGAGGGUGCCCCCACUGUAUUGAAUUCUAAAAUUGAUAGCAGAAAGGCCAAGUUAAUGAAAAGCUUUAAGUAUUUAAAAAUUCCAUGUUUUGAAUUUUGACAUCAUUUUGCAUAAGCAUUUUCCAUCCUUAACUGUGAUUAAGGAUAUGGGAAACUGGGCCAGUGGGGGUGAUUCCUUUCUUGAUCCAGUGUGAACUGGGGGAAAAAGUGCAUCAGUGAAGCCAGUGAUUCAGUAUUCAGUGUAGACAGCAGCUAGAGAGCCGUGCACACUGAUACCCAGCAGUGAUGUGCAGGCCCGAGCUGAAGUUCUGUGCUGACAUCUGCUUGCCAGCUUGGAGCAUCCCAGCCGCACAGAGGUGGGACUGAGUGCCUGAGCCUCCUGCAGUCCCUGGGCUCAGUGAUCCAUCCCCAGCUGCCCAGUGUCUGGGAGCCGCUCAUCCCACCUCUGGCCAGGUGUACCUCACAGCACAACAGGACAGAUCUGCAAAGAGAUAUGUCUGAGAGAGCACUCAGCUGCUCCCGAGAGUACACCACGAUAAGUGUAGAAGUCUGUAGCAGAAUUAUAUGAUUUCUCUCUGGGAGUUUUAGGUGCGUUUUGAGGAUUAAUCAGAUUUGGAAUCUUUCAGUGUUGCAUUAGAAUCAGUGUCAUAUCUUCUGCUGAGCACAGGUUUUGUCCUUAUGGCAGCAUUACCUGAGCAGAUCUCCAUCCCACUGUCCAGAACUGUACAGGAUACAGCAUAUCAGAUGGGAGAUUUACAUUUAUCGACACCACCAUGUCCAUAAUGUCACUCAUCUGUGUUUUCUUAUGUUCAGUUACAGCUAUUCUCCCUCAAUAAGCUCUGAGCUGCUACAGGCCCUAUCUAAGUGCUGAGUUUUUUGUGUGUUGUGUUUCAGAAUUUCCAGCAGUGGCAGGAUGGGCUGAUUGUGGUAUGUAGUGAGAGAGGGGAUUGUUAACACACACAGUGAGAGGGAGGGGGCACACACAGGGAAAGUGAUCUUCUUCCUCUGUUAGGUAAUGUCAUGUCAUUCAAAUGCAGUGACAGAUGUCUUGAACUUCCUCUCCUGGCUUGCUGUGGAUUCAAGAGAAUAAUCUAUCUUCUCUUGUUUUGGAUAAUUUGCUAAAUAUUAUUGUUAAACAUUUAAAGGUAAAUGUUAAAUUUAGAGAUUUUGAUAUUAUUUUAUAUUUUGUUACACCUGAUUUGGAAAGGUUUUUUUAUUUAAAUUCUAGUAAUUUAAAGAAUCAAAAGGCAAGACAUACAAUGGAAAUAUGUAAAAAGCACAAUUGUUAUUGUGAAUUCCUCUGGCUGUGAAGUGUGUCUAUUUCUGUAUCUCUUUUAAUAUUUUGUCUCCUUUUUUGUAUUUCU